CACAUUCCCGUACGAUCACCGAAGUUAAGCAACGUCGAGCUUGGGCAGUACAUAGAUGGGUGACUGCUUGGGAAUGCCAGGAAUUGUAA
Molecule: non-coding RNA, 89 nt
Organism: Acanthosepion pharaonis
Lineage: Eukaryota; Metazoa; Mollusca; Cephalopoda; Sepiida; Sepiidae
Source: the annotation of a GenBank genome assembly